CAAUUUGGGUGUGUUAUUUUUAAUAAAGUGGGUUUUUUUUUAAAGGGGGGGUCAUUUUCAGUUUCGGUCAAGUGAUAGCUGAAUUUUCGGUCCAGAAUUUUCAUUUCGGUGCAUCCCUAUAUACUAAGCCAGACACUGAAGCAGUAGGCCUACACCACAUCAAUGUUUGGCUUAGUAUAUAGUGAUAGGGGUUAUGCUACAUUAUUGGCAAUGUCUGGCUCAAUGUAUAGUGUUAUGCUGUACCCCAGUCAAUGUGUGCCUCAGUAUAUAGUGAUAUGCUGUACCCCAGUCAAUGUGUGCCUCAGUAUAUAGUGAUAGGUGUUAUGCUGUA
Spea bombifrons (plains spadefoot toad) is the source of this 331-nucleotide long non-coding RNA. RefSeq lists it as uncharacterized. The record is from RefSeq and is a predicted model, not a curated record. Lineage: Eukaryota; Metazoa; Chordata; Amphibia; Anura; Pelobatidae. The transcript has 2 exons.